This 462-nucleotide ribosomal RNA is filed under the name uncultured bacterium. Its description in RNAcentral is "bacterial SSU rRNA". It matches the Rfam family "Bacterial small subunit ribosomal RNA", at positions 340 to 787 of the family's 1533-position model. The record is from RNAcentral.
UACGGAAGGCAGCAGUGGGGAAUAUUGCACAAUGGGCGCAAGCCUGAUGCAGCCAUGCCGCGUGUAUGAAGAAGGCCUUCGGGUUGUAAAGUACUUUCAGUCGUGAGGAAGGUGUUAAGGUUAAUAACCUUAGCAAUUGACGUUAGCGACAGAAGAAGCACCGGCUAACUCCGUGCCAGCAGCCGCGGUAAUACGGAGGGUGCGAGCGUUAAUCGGAAUUACUGGGCGUAAAGGGCACGCAGGCGGUUAAUUAAGUUGGAUGUGAAAUCCCCGGGCUUAACCUGGGAAUGGCAUUUCAAAGACUGGUUAGCUAGAGUCUUGUAGAGGGGGUAGAAUUCCAUGUGUAGCGGUGAAAUGCGUAGAGAUGUGGAGGAAUACCGGUGGCGAAAGGCGGCCCCUGGACAAAAGGACUGACGCUCAUGUGCGAAAAGCGUGGGGAGCAAAACAGGGAAUUAGAAUACC